RNAcentral lists this ribosomal RNA (659 nucleotides) under Polaromonas sp. Its description in RNAcentral is "bacterial SSU rRNA". It matches the Rfam family "Bacterial small subunit ribosomal RNA", at positions 77 to 733 of the family's 1533-position model. The record is from RNAcentral. Lineage: Bacteria; Pseudomonadati; Pseudomonadota; Betaproteobacteria; Burkholderiales; Comamonadaceae.
UAGCAAUACUCGAGAGUGGCGAACGGGUGAGUAAUAUAUCGGAACGUGCCCAGUCGUGGGGGAUAACGUAGAGAAAUUUACGCUAAUACCGCAUACGAUCUAAGGAUGAAAGCGGGGGAUUCGCAAGAACCUCGCGCGAUUGGAGCGGCUGAUAUCAGAUUAGGUUGUUGGUGAGGUAAAAGCUCACCAAGCCGACGAUCUGUAGCUGGUUUGAGAGAACGACCAGCCACACUGGGACUGAGACACGGCCCAGACUCCUACGGGAGGCAGCAGUGGGGAAUUUUGGACAAUGGGCGAAAGCCUGAUCCAGCAAUGCCGCGUGCAGGAAGAAGGCCUUCGGGUUGUAAACUGCUUUUGUACGGAACGAAAAGGCUCUUUCUAAUAAAGAGGGCCCAUGACGGUACCGUAAGAAUAAGCACCGGCUAACUACGUGCCAGCAGCCGCGGUAAUACGUAGGGUGCGAGCGUUAAUCGGAAUUACUGGGCGUAAAGCGUGCGCAGGCGGUUCUAUAAGACAGAUGUGAAAUCCCCGGGCUCAACCUGGGAAUGGCAUUUGUGACUGUAGAGCUAGAGUACGGUAGAGGGGGAUGGAAUUCCGCGUGUAGCAGUGAAAUGCGUAGAUAUGCGGAGGAACACCGAUGGCGAAGGCAAUCCCCUGGA